Non-coding RNA from Drosophila melanogaster (fruit fly), 576 nucleotides. Lineage: Eukaryota; Metazoa; Arthropoda; Insecta; Diptera; Drosophilidae. The record is from Ensembl.
AUUGCCUUACGAAUUAAAGUCACACAAAUUUAACAAAUGUAACUUUACAAUUUCUCAUGCUAGAUUUUCAUAUACCUAUAAUUUUUCAAUUUUAAUCAAAGUAGGUGUAUUCGUUGCUCUUGAUUACUGCACGGCAAAUUUAUAAUAUAAAUCCAAAACUAAACGAGAACACUUUGCAUUGCUCUAUAGAGAAGUGCGUAGUUCUUCCAGGCUUUUGGUCAUGUUCAACGCCACUCCAAGAAAUAUAAAGCUGAUGGCCACAGAUGAGAAAACGGCAGCCGGUUAACCUUCCAAACUGCAAUAAUCAACAGGAGCGAGGAUAAUGCAUAGAGAGCCGAUCCGGUGGUCCACACAAUCUUUACCGCUUCAGAGACACCUGAUAAACUGGUCAUGAAAAGAUAGCCGGCAGCCACGCCCGAUAUACAGGAUACGCAGGCCAUAAUGGAGACGAUCAGCCUGCAAGUCGGCAAAAGUCUCUUAUAUGAGAAUUCCUGUUCGCUCAUGUGUUUGAUGUAUUUUAAGUCACUUAACACAAUGGAUUUUGAAUUUUUUUAUAUUGAAAGCAAAUCAUUUUCA